UAACUGACGCCAACUCCAGUCUUUCAAGAGAAAUUUACAUGAUGCUCCCAGGUGGGCAUAUUAAGAAACAGGAUGAAUCAUUGUCAAGAAUGAUGAAGAAAGAUACUCUGGGGUCUUGAAUCUCAAAAUCUGCAUGACCAAAAUGGAGAGAGCUAAGAAAAUAAAAAUCCAAAACGUAUUCACUCUUAAGAUUGAUGCUUAAAAAUCCAGCAUUAUCUGUUAAAAUGGCAAGAUGUCAGAGUGUAUGGAUUGUUAAAGUUGGAGUAGCUGAUUUGGUUCUGCAUGAACUUGGGGAUUCAUAUCAGAUCAGGAGAAAACUUCUGUGUCUAAGCUUCCAUGUCCUAUAGACUGAUAAAGUACCAAAAAACAUUGUUACAGAGAUCUGAAUAAAUCAAAUAAAACCUCUGCUUUCCCACGUAA
Molecule: long non-coding RNA, 420 nt
Organism: Chinchilla lanigera (long-tailed chinchilla)
Lineage: Eukaryota; Metazoa; Chordata; Mammalia; Rodentia; Chinchillidae
Exons: 2
Source: RefSeq, a predicted model, not a curated record